GUUGCAUUUAAGGGAACAGAAUGUGAAUCUGCAGACUGCCAGCCCAGCAUGCGGCUAUUUCCAUCUCCAAAAGUGUAGCUACACUGCCUUGGAUCACGGUUGCUGUGAUGAGUGGUACGCAGAAUGGAGAGUACAUGGCGUGGGACACUGCUGAAGCAACGGUAAAGUGAAAAAUCUAUCUGUCCAGGCGGUGACUCGUGCAGAACUCGCCACAGGAUGCCGCAAUCGCAAUUCCGAUUGUGAAAAGUCAGAGGGCCACGCCCCUCUGGGGAGUUGAAUGACCAAUUCCAGCAUGACGAAAUGCACACCUGCAGUUCACGCACCCACCCCGGGCCAAAGAGGAUUAAAAAGAAGCAGUGGAUGAGCUCACCUAAAGCCCAUUGUCUGACGCGGUUGCAGACAAUUGAGGAGAAACAUUUGGAAAAGAUCAGGUAUCCCCUCCCGCCCUUUUCUGCAUUGUGACUGCCAAGCCUUGUACAGAUCAGAUCUCGGGGGAACUGCUCUGGGCUGGGUCAGCAUUUGUAAUAGUGUUCUCCUGCUUAACAGUUCAGACAAAGCAAAUCAAAGAUGCAAAUUGAGUUGGCCUCAGUUUGGACACUUGUUUGAUCUUCAGAGACUGCAAAUGUCUGAAAUAAAAGCUUCUGACAAUAAAAGAAUCACACUUGCAAGCAUGAACCUGCAAGUGAUAAUCUUGAAAUAAUGGGGUAAGGAGAUCUUUUUUGUUGGAAAUAUAAUUCUCAGCUACGACAAAGCUGGAAAAUUAUGCUUUUUGUUUUCCAAUGGAGUAAACCGUGGGACAACAGCUCACUCUGCCUUAUAUUUAUUGGACAGGCGGUCUCCCAGCAGUGUUCCCACAGGAAAAUAAAAAAAACAGGCCAUCAUUUGGUGGUUCCUGUUUUGUAGUAAAUAACAGAAAGUCUUGAAUAAUAUAGGUGUUUUGACUCGUGCCGCCCAUUUUAGUAGUUGGUAGCGAAUUGAUUCAAGGAUCUCAUCCAGCCAUUUCUCGUAAGAAGACAAGGUAUCAGCUUCAACAACAAGGUU
Molecule: long non-coding RNA, 1041 nt
Organism: Lepisosteus oculatus (spotted gar)
Lineage: Eukaryota; Metazoa; Chordata; Actinopteri; Semionotiformes; Lepisosteidae
Source: RefSeq, a predicted model, not a curated record